UCUGGCCUCCAGUGGAAUCAGUUACCCCUGCCACCACCUGACUGUGUGCAGAAGAUCUUCCCCUGCGCUCACGGUGGACCAGACAGACGAGUGCACAGAUGUUCACAUGGUCAGUGACAGUGAGGGAGAGGAUUUCGAGGAUGCACCUGAGUUUGGUGUAGAUGAAUCUGAAAUCUUUGGCAUGGGAAGCUCAAGUUGUCGAAAGUCUCCGAUGAUGCCAGAGAACAGUGAAAA
Molecule: long non-coding RNA, 234 nt
Organism: Sinocyclocheilus anshuiensis
Lineage: Eukaryota; Metazoa; Chordata; Actinopteri; Cypriniformes; Cyprinidae
Exons: 3
Source: RefSeq, a predicted model, not a curated record